ACUUCCUUUUUAGGCGUUUCAUUUAUUGAUAGGUCGUGGUAAUGUAUAUAGAGACUAUCUUAUAAUAUGGAAAAGUUUAUUCUUUUGUGUUUCAUGCAUUAGAUGACACAACAGAUACGAUGAAAUAAUAGGUCCUGGUAUAGUUUGAGUUUCCUAAUUAUUGUGACAAAGCUUGUUCUAGAUCUACGCGGAGAAGUUUUAUCCAGAUCUACUCGGAGGACUUUUAUGCAGAUCCAGAUUCACGACCACUCGGAUAAGUUUGAUCCAAAACCACUCGAAGAAGUUUAAUCCUGAAACAUUCGGAGAACAUUAAGAAUAAAUGGAGAAAGUGCCCAUUGGACAUGCACAGAUGAUGCCCCCGCUUGCAUAUAACGUUAUAAAGGGACACAACUAGAGAACUGUAAGAGUGACGCCACCCAAAAUCGAACUUGGUGUGUGUUAUGCGGUAAUAGGCAUUGUGUAUAAGUUUCAUAACAUUUGGUUGAUGCAAAAAGUUAGAGAACAGAAACGAAAAAAUCAGCAUUGUUUUCCGGCAUUUAUGAACGGGCGUAACUCCAGAACGGUAAAAGUGACGCCACCCAAAUUCGUUCUGAAUCUGAGUUUUGUGGUAAUAAGCAUUGUGUAUUAAUUUCAUAACAUUUGAUUGAGGCAAAGUAAAGUUAGAGAACUGAAAGGAAAAAUUCAGCAUUUCUUCCACUUUACGAAAGGCGUAACUCCAGAACGGUAAAAGUGACGCCACCCAAAUUCAAACUUGAACUGAGUUUUUUUGGUAAUAAGCAUUGUGUAUAAGUUUCAUAACAUGUAUUGAAAGUUUUAAAGAUAAUUGCACACAAAAAAAACCGGAAAAGAAUAGUUAACAAAUCCCCAUUUUAAGGCAGUAAUUUCUAUCAGAGGGCAUUCAACUUGAUAGGGUGGGGUAUUCAUUUCUGUGUUCUUUAAUCUUUAGGCCAUUCUUCUCUAUUCUUUAUUUUCAACCAUUAUUCUCUUUUCUUUCUAUUUUAGCGUCCCACUCUACUUUAUUCUUUUGAUCCAUUUUUUCUAUUCUUUGAACUUUUACAUUUUAUUCUAUAUCCCCCUCCCCCGAUUAUUCUAUACUGCCCCUCGAUCAUUCUAUAUUUUUCUUAUUAUUCUCUAUUCUGUAAACCUCAUCCAGACCAUUCGUCCUCGACAUGCAGAAAAUACUUGCCACUGGACGUUAAGCAAGCAUCAAUCAAUCAAUCAUCCAGACCCUCAUAUAUAUGUAUACAAGUGCCUAUAAAUAGCAACAGAUAACAUACAAAUCUAUUUGAGUGUGGAUUAAUCAGUACAAAGAUUAAUACAAUUUCACAAAUGAAAUUAUAAAUUGUCUAACAAUGUAAUUUUAACACACUAUUUAGUAUGUAAAUAUUAAAAUGUUAAAAAUA
This is a long non-coding RNA of Mytilus californianus (California mussel), 1403 nucleotides long. RefSeq lists it as uncharacterized. The transcript has 2 exons. The record is from RefSeq and is a predicted model, not a curated record. Lineage: Eukaryota; Metazoa; Mollusca; Bivalvia; Mytilida; Mytilidae.